Molecule: unclassified non-coding RNA, 2516 nt
Filed under: Hevea brasiliensis (rubber tree)
Lineage: Eukaryota; Viridiplantae; Streptophyta; Magnoliopsida; Malpighiales; Euphorbiaceae
Source: RNAcentral
CCCAAGAUGACCUAUCAUUCAUGUGAUCCCUAUCUACAUAUGCUAUGUAUAUGCAAUGACUACUACAAACAUUCUUUUACAAGUUCAUAAUACAAUCUCAUUCUCUUCUAAUCCUCUCUCAUUUAUCACUGAAUAGUAACAAUCUAAACUUAUAAGCAUUUGAAAAAAAAAAUCCAUAUAUAUAACUCCGAACAAUAAUCACAUCAUACAGCAAUCAUCAUCACCUCCUUGACCUCUUCCUUGCCCUCCCACCUCCAACCUCUACACGUGCAUCACCAUUAUCUCUCCCUCUCUUCUUCCUUAUGCCACCACCCGACUCCACUGUACUUUUUGCCUGCUUCUUUGGUGGCCUUCCAAUUCUCUUUGCACUUCCACUCUCUUCUCUAGCCCUAGAACUCCUUGUAACUCUUUCUGUAAUUCCAUCUCUAUUUCUUCCUCUUUUUCCUUUCUCCUCUUUUUCUUUCUCAUCUUUACUCUCAUCCUCAGAGGAAUCAUCUUCAACAUCAUUCUCCAUAACUUGACUCGGUGAAUUUUGCUUUAUUCUUUUCAAAAAGCUAGCUGCUCCUUGCCUCUUCCUUGUGCUACUUCCUUUUCUUUCCACCUUCAUCUCCAAAGCAUCAUGGGAACUAAGCUCAUUGCCACCAUACUGAUGCUUUAUCUCUCCAUUUUUUUUGGUGUUAUUAGAAUUUCUAUGACAGGAUAUCGACCUCUCUUUUGUCAUUUUCUUCCUUGUGCCCUUCUCCUCAAUCCUAACAAAGGAACCUUCAAUCUUUUUCUCAUUUGCUUUUGUUUUGUUUUCACCCUCCCUAUCUUUUUUAUCAACCUUUUUAGUGGCACUUUCAGAUAUUCCUUUUGCUGAAUUUCCCUUGCCACACACAACGAUGGUACAAGAUUUGUUGGGCUUUGAAAACGAAAUGGGUUGUUGUACGGGUAUAGGUUUCACGGUGACAGGUUCAGGUUUUGCUUCACAAAGCUUCUCCGUCAUUUCCUUUCGAACUAUAGUUAGGAGGUCACGAGCAGCAAGAUUUUCUGGUGAAUUUUUUCCAAAGAAAGUAAUAGCAUUGUUGAAUAAAAGGAGAAGAUCUCUGAAAAAUUUUUGAAGACAUAGAGAGUAAGCCCCUCCAUCAAGCCUACAUUGAAUCAUUUGAAGAUCUAUAUGCUGCUUGAUCAAUUUUUUAUACCUUUUAGAUUCCUGACUUUGAAGCCGCCGCUCGAACACAGAGCCAAGCCGAUGAGACCGAAUGAUCCCUAGGAGUUUAACUAACGGCUCAGAUUUGACGGCAGGCAUCCGCUUCAUGGCGGGAGAAACCUCGUCACCACCUUCGGGCUCCUCUCCACUACUGCUACCAACUCCAACCCCGUUUCCACCGCCAGUAAUCAACUUACGACGUCGAUUAUUCCUCUUCAGUGACAAGCUAGCUGAGCUUUGCACGUCACUAUUUUGCUUCUCUUUAUCUUCCCGCUUAGACUCUCCCACCGACUCGCCCAGCUCAUUCGACUCGCCGAGCCCACCCGUCGUCUGACUCGUUUUUAUUUCAGGUUCCUUUUUAUCCGUCGGUAUUUUAUCAUUUUCGUCAUCAUCAACCUCGCGCAACUUACCGUUGUGGGACCAAUCCCUCUCAGCCUCUGGGUCGGAUCCAGUAUGAACCGGAUUCUUCUCAUUUGUAUUUGCUGGUUUGGGUUUUAUAUCAGGCUCUCCAUUUACGGCGUCGUUUUGAUCUAUCAUCGUUGUCCUUUCAGCUUUUUGUUGACUGGUGGAGUUUGACUCGUUGAAAGAUCGAUUAUCUCGCUCAUCACCAGACUCGUUACCGUGGGCGGAUUUCCCGACGAUUAGUUCCGGAGAGGUCCCUUUCUCCCUCGCCAGAUCUGCCUCUUCUCUCAAACUGCGCUCUCUCUCGUCCUCUAAUCUCUUUACCUUUAAUUCAAGCGACCUGCAGCGACAAACAGAGAACAAUACAAAAAAAUUCUCAGAUCUCAAACAAUACCAGACCACCUAGAAUCGGAUCUUCAACAAGAAGAGCGAAAUUUACACGAUCGACACAUCACGUCGUUGGACCUCGCGUCGAAGCUCCUCCACGCGAAUCCUACGGAGUUCAUCGACCAUGGAAACGAGGCUGGCAGAUGUGUCGUUUGAGGGCAUGAACCGGCGUUUAAGGUCGUUGAACUUGUCUAUACAGUGUUGAGAAGUGAGGGAGGAGAGAGUGGUGGUUCGGUUCUGUACUUCAACAGCGACGGAGUCCCAGCUCUGGGUACCGUGGCGGUUCACGGCACAUGCUAGCAAUAGCUCCUCUAACGUGCCCCAAGGUUGUGCGAUCCUUUGGUGUUCCCUAGCCAUUAAUCUCUGUUAUGCCAUGAUUAUUUGUUUUCUGGUCUUCGUUUGUUUUCUUUUUUUAAUUUGUUUUGAAAAUUAAGGUUUUUGGCGUUUUGAUUGAUAGGGUUUCCUUUUAUAUAUAUACUGUUUGUUGAUGGACGACGAUGGCUUUUUUAUUAUUCUUAUUAUUAAAUCUAUUUUCUCA